UAAACGAUGAGUGCUAGGUGUUAGGCCCUUUCCGGGGCUUAGUGCCGGAGCUAACGCAAUAAGCACUCCGCCUGGGGAGUACGACCGCAAGGUUGAAACUCAAAGGAAUUGACGGGGGCCCGCACAAGCGGUGGAGCAUGUGGUUUAAUUCGAAGCAACGCGAAGAACCUUACCAGGUCUUGACAUCCCGAUGCUAUUCUUAGAGAUAGGAAGUUACUUCGGUACAUCGGAGACAGGUGGUGCAUGGUUGUCGUCAGCUCGUGUCGUGAGAUGUUGGGUUAAGUCCCGCAACGAGCGCAACCCUUAUUGUUAGUUGCCAUCAUUAAGUUGGGCACUCUAGCGAGACUGCCGGUAAUAAACCGGAGGAAGGUGGGGAUGACGUCAAAUCAUCAUGCCCCUUAUGACCUGGGCUACACACGUGCUACAAUGGUCGGUACAACGAGUUGCGAGCCGGUGACGGCAAGCUAAUCUCUGAAAGCCGAUCUCAGUUCGGAUUGGAGGCUGCAACUCGUCUCCAUGAAGUCGGAAUCGCUAGUAAUCGCGGAUCAGCACGCCGCGGUGAAUACGUUCCCGGGCCUUGUACACACCGCCCGUCACACCACGAGAGUUUGUAACACCCGAAGUCGGUGAGGUANCCUUUUAGGGGCCAGCCG
RNAcentral lists this ribosomal RNA (653 nucleotides) under uncultured bacterium. RNAcentral's name for it is "bacterial SSU rRNA". It matches the Rfam family "Bacterial small subunit ribosomal RNA", at positions 803 to 1455 of the family's 1533-position model. The record is from RNAcentral.